GACGAACGCUGGCGGCGUGCUUAACACAUGCAAGUCGAACGGAAAGGCCCUGCUUUUGUGGGGUGCUCGAGUGGCGAACGGGUGAGUAACACGUGAGUAACCUGCCCUUGACUUUGGGAUAACUUCAGGAAACUGGGGCUAAUACCGGAUAGGAGCUCCUGCUGCAUGGUGGGGGUUGGAAAGUUUCGGCGGUUGGGGAUGGACUCGCGGCUUAUCAGCUUGUUGGUGGGGUAGUGGCUUACCAAGGCUUUGACGGGUAGCCGGCCUGAGAGGGUGACCGGCCACAUUGGGACAGGGGUACGGCCCAGACGCAUACGGGAGGCAGGAGUGGGGAAUUGUGCAAAAGGGGCGGAAGCCUGAAGCAGCAACGCCGGGUGCGGGAAGACGGCCUUCGGGUUGGAAACCGCUUUCGCCUGUGACGAAGCGUGAGUGACGGUAAUGGGUAAAGAAGCACCGGCUAACUACGU
Molecule: ribosomal RNA, 467 nt
Filed under: uncultured bacterium
Lineage: Bacteria
Description: partial 16S ribosomal RNA
Rfam family: Bacterial small subunit ribosomal RNA
Source: RNAcentral